RNAcentral lists this transfer RNA (70 nucleotides) under Insectozyma corydali. Its description in RNAcentral is "Candida corydali tRNA-Met". It matches the Rfam family "tRNA". Rfam says of the family: Transfer RNA (tRNA) molecules are approximately 80 nucleotides in length. Their secondary structure includes four short double-helical elements and three loops (D, anti-codon, and T loops). The record is from RNAcentral. Lineage: Eukaryota; Fungi; Ascomycota; Pichiomycetes; Serinales; Debaryomycetaceae.
UGCAGUGUAGUGUAACGUAACAUGUAAGGCUCAUGAUCUUACGAUGGUGGUUCAAAUCCAUCCAUUGCAU